GUCUUUUUGAUUAAUAAUUUAAAGUUUAAUUUGCCCCCUGAUUAAUAAUUAAAGGGCUGCAGUAUAUUGACUGUACAAAGGUAGCAUAAUCAAUAGUCUUUUAAUUGAAGACUUGUAUGAAAGAUUUGAUGAAAUAUAAACUGUCUCUAAAUUAUUUAUAGAAAUUAAUUUUUUAAUUAAAAAGUUAAAAUAAAUUAAAAAGACGAGAAGACCCUAUAGAGUUUUAUAAUAAUUAAAUUUUUUUUUUAAAUAUAAAAAUAAUAAAUUCAAAGGUUUAUUAUUAUUUUAUUGGGGUGAUAGAAAAAUUAAAAUAACUUUUUUUAAUAAAAAUACAUGAAUAAGUGAAUAAAUGAUCCAUAAUUAAUGAUUAUAAGAAAAAAUUACCUUAGGGAUAACAGCGUAAUUUUUUUUUUUAGUACAAAUAAAAAAAAAAGGUUGCGACCUCGAUGUUGGAUUAAGAUAAAAUUUAAAUGCAAAAGUUUAAAAUUUUGAUCUGUUCGAUCAUUAAAAUCUUACAU
RNAcentral lists this ribosomal RNA (518 nucleotides) under Dione vanillae (Gulf fritillary). RNAcentral describes it as "partial 16S ribosomal RNA". The stretch from base 391 to 518 matches the Rfam family "Archaeal large subunit ribosomal RNA", at positions 2542 to 2670 of the family's 2987-position model. The record is from RNAcentral. Lineage: Eukaryota; Metazoa; Arthropoda; Insecta; Lepidoptera; Nymphalidae.